GGGUCAAUGGGUGAUCAAGAAGGCCGGUGGCCUAGGUUGCCGACCUCCAUUGCACUUAAUAGGGGUGUCUGCCUAAGGUCUGCCCAAGUGGUCGAGCUUA
Molecule: small RNA, 100 nt
Filed under: Olea europaea subsp. europaea
Lineage: Eukaryota; Viridiplantae; Streptophyta; Magnoliopsida; Lamiales; Oleaceae
Rfam family: U1 spliceosomal RNA
About the family: U1 is a small nuclear RNA (snRNA) component of the spliceosome (involved in pre-mRNA splicing). Its 5' end forms complementary base pairs with the 5' splice junction, thus defining the 5' donor site of an intron. There are significant differences in sequence and secondary structure between metazoan and yeast U1 snRNAs, the latter being much longer (568 nucleotides as compared to 164 nucleotides in human).
Source: RNAcentral